CGCGCUCCACCUCGACGCGGGCUUUGUCGUUGGUUAGCUGGUCCACCUGCCGGCGCAGCUCCCGCAUCUCCUCCUCGUAGAGGUCCCCCAGGCGCGACUUGCCUUGGCCCUUGAGCUGCUCGAGCUCGGCCAGCAGGAUCUUAUUCUGCUGCUCCAGGAAGCGCACCUUGUCGAUGUAGUUGGCGAAGCGGUCAUUCAGCUCCUGCAGCUCCACCUUCUCGUUGGUGCGGGUGUUCUUGAACUCGGUGUUGAUGGCGUCGGCCAGCGAGAAGUCCACCGAGUCCUGCAGGAGCCGCACCCCGGGCACGCUGCUCCGCAGGCGCACGGCAGAGGAGCGCGUGGCAUACACGCCGCCCGGGGACGAGGCGUAGAGGCUGCGGCUGGUGCUGGGGCGCAGCGCGCUGCCCAGGCUGUAGGUGCGGGUGGACGUAGUCACGUAGCUCCGGCUGGAGCUCGGCCGGCUCGCGGUGCCCGGGCCGCCGAACAUCCUGCGGUAGGAGGACGAGGACACGGACCUGGUGGACAUGGCUGCGGAGGGUGGCGAUGGCCUGGGCGGCGGCGGUGGCGCGGACUGGCUCCCGGAGAAGAGGCGAACGAGGGCGCGACAGCAAAGCUCCCUUUGGAUGACAUAGAUUUAUUACUUAGUAGUAUAUUAUGUAUUGGCUGUCCCACAUUUUGAAAUUUAAUGGACUCGUGGUGAUCAGAAUAAAAGAAGCCUUCGAUGUGAGGCCCAGGCAUUGAGUACCAUGUGUGCGAUUCACAAGCCUUGGCAUCUGAACAAUUUUUUGGAAGGAUCCAUCAGGACAACACGUCGGGGGUGUACUAGUGAAGUGAUUUUCCAAAUGUGCUACUCAGACCUGUAGCAUCAGCAUCACCGGAUAAUUUGUUAGAAAUUCCAACUGUUAGGCCCCACUUUAGACCAACUGAAUGUGAAACUCUGGGAGUACGUGGGGCCCAGCAAUUUGUGUUUUUACAAGACUUACCAGGUGAUUCUGAGAACCACUGUGCUAGUGAAUUGUUCCUGUCUGUGGCCACGUAGAAUAAGAAAACCAUAGGGUUGGAAAAUGGGGAAACUGACCCUUGCCAAUCCCCAGGCCGCGAGGCCCUCUGAAGCCCUGAGCCUGGAGCGGUAGGAGACGGG
Molecule: long non-coding RNA, 1141 nt
Filed under: Homo sapiens (human)
Lineage: Eukaryota; Metazoa; Chordata; Mammalia; Primates; Hominidae
Description: non-protein coding VIM-AS1:8
Source: RNAcentral